UACAGAGGUCUCAAGCGUUGUUCGGAAUUACUGGGCGUAAAGGGUGCGUAGGCCGCACGGGCAGUCAAAUGUGAAAUUCUGGGGCUCAACCUCAGAAUUGCGCUUGAUACUUCCGUGCUCGAACCUUGGAGAGGAGUCUGGAAUUCUCGGUGUAGCAGUGAAAUGCGUGGAUAUCGAGAAGAACACUAAGGGCGAAGGCAAGACUCUGGACAAGUGUUGACGCUGAUGCACGAAGGCUAGGGUAGCGAACGGG
Molecule: ribosomal RNA, 253 nt
Filed under: uncultured bacterium
Lineage: Bacteria
Description: partial 16S ribosomal RNA
Rfam family: Bacterial small subunit ribosomal RNA
Source: RNAcentral